CAUCUUCUCUGUCAGCAAAGGCCACAGCCUGCCUUCCCCGACAAGGUAGGGCCUCCCUAAUGAGUCUGUGGUAUCAAGAGGAUGGAGCGGAGGUGUGGCUGCGUGUGGGGAUGAAUAGCGCUGUCUUUGAGGCAGAUGAGGAUGAGUUACGUCCACUGCAGCACAGUAUACAUCACAGCUAAUGAAGACAGAGUUGGCUUUUCAUUGAUGUCCUCCAGUAUUCUGCUCUUUCAAUGCUAAUUCAUCAUCCAUCAAGCUGACUUGACCACCAGCGUCAUCUGCAGGGGUGACAGGAUGCGGAUCGGCAGGAGAGCGCCGCGGUGGGUCCAUGAUUAGACCAGAUCGGAACUGCAGGGUGUGGUGUUCUCUGUACCGCUGUCACACACAUCAAACAGUCAGGCGUCCCCAUCAGGUACGAAGGAGCAGCAGGAAACUGAGAGACUGGAGGUGGAGAGUGACUCAAAGCUUCACUCCAGUUCUCCUGUGUCUUCACUGCCCCUCUGACCUCUGGGCUGCGAUCCUGGUAUUAUAUGUGUUGUGGGGACACCGGCUAAAAAGUUGCAUUACAAGGACAUGUCUCCCUUAUGGGGACGUAAGUCAUUAACGUGAAGACAUGUUUUAGGUCACAUCUCGGAUAAAGUUAGGGUUAGGGAUAUAGAGUUUUUGGUAAAGGUAAUAGUUUGUGUUAUAAGUCAAUGUAAUGUCCUCUGAUAUCAUGGACAACGUCAGUAUAUAGGCAGAUGCAGGUGUGUGUGACAACCACAGGGAUUUGGUGGUGAAAAAAAAUGAAUGAGUGUAAAUGAAUUAACCCCGAGCAUCUCUCACACUCGCAGAAAAAACAAAUUUGCACCUGAUUCACACUCACCUGGCUGCAUAAUUCAUGAACUUCUCACAUAAAAGAAAAGCAUAAAGAUGGUGAACACGGAGAGAGCUUUUAAUGCUGCAAUUUACAUAACUCCAGACACUUUCUACAGAAUGUACUAUUAAUUUUACAGGCAAGUUUCAUGGAGCACAAUUCAAAUGUGAACAGGAGGCUUUUAUGUGUCUUAUUAAACACUGUAAAGGACAGAUUUUACUGUUACACAAUGGAGAGGAUCUCGUUUGAAAAACAGCAAUACACCACUUGUUUCUGAGCUUUCUGCCAAAACAAAGUCAAAAGAGAAAAUGUGGUAGAAACUUUCACUGGACUAUGAAUGCUGUGAACAAACUAGUUCUAUCAUAGUGUUGCACUUCGUUGUACUUAUGAUUGUGGAGGAAGUGGCCAAGUAGUUUUAAGAAAUGAAGCAUUUCUGUUUUUUAUUUAUUUAUUAUCCUGUGAGUCAUGAAGGCAAAGGACAUCUUCCGCCAUUGUAAACAUUUAACAAUUCAGCCAAUUAAAACCAUGUUUCUGAAGUAUACUUUGAAAACUAUAAUACGAUGUGCAUAUGGUGUUCAGCAGGAGAUAUACUUAUUUAUUAUUACUUAUCAUUAAAUUUAAAAUGCAUUUAGAUUAGGGUUUUACUUUGAUGCAGCGAGGGUCAGGCAUGCAUGCAG
This is a long non-coding RNA of Paralichthys olivaceus (Japanese flounder), 1533 nucleotides long. RefSeq lists it as uncharacterized. The record is from RefSeq and is a predicted model, not a curated record. NCBI's taxonomy places the organism in Eukaryota, Metazoa, Chordata, Actinopteri, Pleuronectiformes, Paralichthyidae.